Molecule: non-coding RNA, 213 nt
Filed under: Hafnia paralvei
Lineage: Bacteria; Pseudomonadati; Pseudomonadota; Gammaproteobacteria; Enterobacterales; Hafniaceae
Description: Lysine riboswitch
Rfam family: Lysine riboswitch aptamer
About the family: Riboswitches are metabolite binding domains within certain messenger RNAs that serve as precision sensors for their corresponding targets.
Source: RNAcentral
GCCAGAAGAGGCGCGUUGCUCAGGUAACGUAUCGAAGGAGCCGGUUUCCACAUCCCUAAUGUCUAGGGAGAAACGAUACGCAAGGGGAUGUGACGCCGAGACGCAGCAGCCCACCGGAGAAACUGCUACGUCGGCUACAAGGGCUGAAUCCCUUGGGCUGUCACCUCGAUUCUCUGUAUUCCGGGGGAUCGGCAAGGUGGGGCGCUUCUGGGU